RNAcentral lists this ribosomal RNA (433 nucleotides) under uncultured bacterium. RNAcentral describes it as "partial 16S ribosomal RNA". It matches the Rfam family "Bacterial small subunit ribosomal RNA", at positions 29 to 507 of the family's 1533-position model. The record is from RNAcentral.
AACGAACGCUGGCGGCAUGCCUAACACAUGCAAGUCGAACGAGACCUUCGGGUCUAGUGGCGCACGGGUGCGUAACGCGUGGGAACCUGCCCUUAGGUUCGGAAUAACUCCCCGAAAGGGGUGCUAAUACCGGAUAAUGUCUUCGGACCAAAGAUUUCUCGCCUUUGGAUGGGCCCGCGUUGGAUUAGCUAGUUGGUAGGGUAAAAGCCUACCAAGGCGACGAUCCAUAGCUGGUCUGAGAGGAUGACCAGCCACACUGGGACUGAGACACGGCCCAGACUCCUACGGGAGGGAGCAGUGGGGAAUAUUGGACAAGGGGCGAAAGCCUGAUCCAGCAAUGCCGCGUGAGUGAUGAAGGCCUUAGGGUUGUAAAGCUCUUUUACCCGGGAUGAUAAUGACAGUACCGGGAGAAUAAGCACCGGCUAACUCCGUG